This 4697-nucleotide long non-coding RNA is filed under the name Sus scrofa (pig). RNAcentral describes it as "lncRNA (ENSSSCG00065040986.1)". Lineage: Eukaryota; Metazoa; Chordata; Mammalia; Artiodactyla; Suidae. The record is from RNAcentral.
AUUUGAUAUACAGAUAAGGUCUUCUGUCCUGCUUAUCUCUUUCUAAAAUUAUUAAGUGCUUUGAUGACCUUUUGAGGAAUAGUGUGCAAUUCUAAGUAGUGUUCAAACAGUGAAUGGCAGCACUUAAUAACAGCAGAAGGACUCAGGAAAUCCAAAGGAGCACAUUAGCAUGUCAUAAAGCUCUGGAAGUAAUUUACCUGAUUCUGAGACGUUAUUUAUACUCAAAGUGCUGCUUCCAUGAAAAGAGUAGAAAAUUAAACGACAAAAAAUUUGUUUAUUAUAGCUAAGACAUUUAAAUCAAAUAGCAAACCAAAAUUUGGGGAUUUUUUUUCAUAUUAGUUAACUUUUCUACCACCUAUUUAGAGCAGAUUCCUACACAUAGAAGAUGGCAUAAUCUGUAUGUGUCUUGCACCUACCAGGAGGUGAGCAGUUAUCCCUGUUGUCUUUGAAUCAAAAUAAAGCAAAAACCAAGAAAAGUCAUGACCAAGAGAAAAAUAAGACAUCAGUAUAGUUCAAAGGCUUUGCAUCACCAUAGGCAGCCAAAAAAAAUUAGGUUAACUCUUCCUCAAGAAAACAAAUCUCAUUAGCCAGUAGUCCAUCAUAUAACAAAUUUUAGGAUGAGUAUUGAACUACUUACUACCUGUAGCCAUCAUCAGUUACCUUGGGAAUAAUCAUUCAAUGAAUGUAAGAAGAUAAAUCUAGAUGGUAUUUGUAUAAAACAAUGGGACUUUUCUUGCCCAUGUUAUUUUUUAAAAAUUUUUAAUUAAAAAAAUUUUUUUUGGUCUUUUGUCUUAUCAGGGCCAUACCCACAGCAUAUGGAGGUUCCCAGGCUAGGGGUCUAAUCGGAGCUGUAGUCGCCGGCGUACACCAGAGCCAUAGCAACGCCAGAUCCAAACCCUGUCUGUGACCUACACCACAGCUCACAGCAACGCCAGAUCCUUAAUCCAAUGAGCAAGGUGAGGGAUCUAACCCUCAACCUCCUUGUCAGAUUUGUUUCCACUGUGCCAUGAUGGGAACUCCUCUAGUGUUAUUUUUUCCUUUCUCUGAAUAUUUAAUUAGUAGUAGCUUCUGUUCCCAUGACAUAUUGGGAUUCAUGAUAAGCCUCUGUCCAUGUACAAAUGCAUCACUAGACAGAAGGGUUAUCAACACAUGUAUUGUUUCUCUAUUUGUUUUUGUUAUAUAUGUGUAUUUGUGGUUCUAUAAUUCAUAAGACAUAUACAUAAAUAAGUGGUCAAUGCAAAGGCAGAAACAUAGGGCCUUAGGAACUUCUCUCUUUAUAUCCACCUCCUCUUUCACUCUACCUACUUUUUGAAAAUCCAGUUUCCAUGUCAUCACUUUUUAUUUUUUCCCCUUCACAGUUGAAUUUCAGCUCAUUUUUCCCUCUACGCAAUUCAGAUAGAAUCUAGAGGAUUGUACUAUUUUAUUUCUGUCCUUCGCUUCUAACUGUCCUUCUCUGCAGCAGAAAAGAGUCCAAGGAUGUGCUUAGGUAUCAUUACUGGAUUACUCUUCCCAAAACAGUAAUAAAAGUAUAGCUUAUCUUUUAGACCAACUGCAAGUUGGCUCAUUGUUUCUUAGCCAAUUGAUUGCAUUUUAUUCUCUGUCCUUCCCUGUACACAAAGUACCUCUAUGGUAUAAGAUGAGGGUAGAGACAGUUGAAGAGAAGUGUAAAAGUGUUUCCAUUUGUUUCCUACUGUUAGUAAAGUAGAAUGUUUUCAUUCAAUAAUCCUAGAGCACCUAGUGCUGUUUACUAACAUAAACUAAGUUUUCUUGUGAUUUUCUACCUGAAGAAAUCUAAGAUAUGAAAGAGACUAAUUGGAAGUAAGCAAAUCUGGACUGUUUUUUAAGUUCUUAAGUUCUAGCAAACUUGGAGAAGUUACUUAACUCCUUUGCAUCUGUUUCCUCUUCUGUAAGAUAAGUAAUGUAAUUGUUAUGUAUUACAGAUUAAUUUUUAAACUGAAGAACAUGUUAUGGUGGUAAUAGCAUGAUAUCUGAUGUUUACAUGUUGACAGUAAGCUAUAUUAUGUCAGAAAGACUGAUUUCUUUUUUUUAUUGGCUUAAGUUUUGAGUUAGUUCCCUUCUUGGCCAUCAGCUCUAACCAUAGACCUUCAUUAUAUCAUCCUGUAACAUCCUAGGUUUCUAUUAGAGGCUUCAAGGAAUUACUCCUAAAAUGUUAAUUAUGAAAGAAAUCUAUAGUAUAUACGGUCCAAAUCCUCUAAUGUUAUAUAUGAAGUAAUUAAUAUUUGGAUAAGUAAACAAGCUUUGUUUAGCUCUCAGACCUAGUGACUAACACAACCUGGGUUACACUUGAAAUUUUCUUACCUUCAAGUUAUGGUAUUGAUACUGCUUAUUAUAUAGGACUAUUCAAGUGAGAUGUUUGGAUGGGUUGAAAUGGUUGGGUUUAACAUGCUAAGUGUUAAACAUCUUUUAUAAAGUGACAUUCUAUGUUUGCAGCUCAAACAGGAUACACACGGAGCCCUCAGUAUCAGUCAUAGCUGAAAGGUUUUCUAGAACCUUAACAUAUGUUAAACAUUAAAGCUCUCUUACUAAAUCAGAGUUAUCUAGGGCCUAGCAAUUACAGCCUCCUGGUACUUCCAGGAAUACAUUAUCUUGCCCUAAUGGAGAGCAACUUAACCAAUGUUUCACUUCUUAAUUAGUCUUUGUUGGCCACUGAAGGGCCGAGGCUGAUGCUUAUGCUACCAGAUUCAUCUCUGGUAUUACUAAAGUCACUCUGAUAAACUCAACUAGUAAGACUAUAACAGUCUAGAUCUCAAAUGCAAUAAAGGAGCUCUACGGUCCAUCUAACCCCACAACCUUAAUUGCAGACACUCCUAUUAUAGUUUUCAUGGGGCAGAAGGAUUUUAAUUCUGUGGCUACCUAGGAACAUGGGGUGCUAUCUUGAAGAGAAAUUGUCCUUUCACAUUGCUCUGUGACAGUCCUCUAUUGUUUCUGUCUAUCACCCCAUUAAGAUGGCAACUUCAUUAGAGUAACAGUCUUAGGUGACUAAAAGUGCCCUAGGUGAAUAAUUGACUAGUCACAUAUUAUUAGGACAUAUUUCAUGCAAGACUGCGGCCUGAAGAUAUGUCAUACUUUGGAAAACUCAAUAUGAAACUAAACAAACUUUAACUUAUAAGCAAAUAAAUUGGAUAUCUGAGUUCCCAGUGGGAGGGCUGAUUAUUCAAAUUUUAGAGUUUUAUCACUUUAAAAAUGGUUCAGUACUGAGAUUCUUUAUAAAGUGCCCAUGGGAAUGUAUAUGUAACUUUCAUUAUUAAAAAUCCAAUAAACACAGUUGUUCAGGAAGCAAUCCAUUGUGCAGAGUAAGGCAUACAUACACAAUUUUUGGGUACUUCUUUUGGCUUAAACAUUGAGAAAAUCAAACCUUUGCAUACUAUCAGAAUUACAGAUUCAUUUGUGAUCCUUAUCAAUGGAUCAAGCCAAGAGCUGUGUAGUUUUUAAGAAGGUGGAUAUAUAUAGAGAGAGGUAUACUAUAUAUAUACCUCUAUUUGUUCAGGAUAAUCCCAGUUUAUAUAAGUUGUUUCAAAGCAAUUAUUAAUAGUGCCUCAAAAAUGUCCUAGUUUGGAUUAUGUGGUCACCUUAUUGUUAGAUUGCUUUACAAUGAAAUAAGCUCAUUGUUAGCUUGAAUACAGAAUGCCAUUACACAAAUAAAAUUCAGCUAGGACUAAAAGCAAAGCCAUUAGGACAUUCAUUCAUUAGUUCAUUAUGUAUUAUUCAAACUUAAGCAAGUAUUCCUUAGGCAUUGUGUGUCAAUAUUUUUUUUUUCUUUUUAGGGCUGAACCCAUGGCUUAUGGAAUUUCCCAGGCUAGGGGUCAAAUUGGAGCUGCAGCUGCUGGCCUAUGCCACAGCCACAGCAAUGCCAAAUCCAAACCAUGUCUGCAACCUACACCACAGCUCAUGGUAAUGCCGGAUCUUCUAACUCACUGAACAAGGCCAGGGAUUGAACCCACAUAUUCAUGGAUACUAGUUGCUUACCACUGAGCCAUAACGGGAACUCCAAUAAAUAUUUCUAAACAAUUUAUUGAGCCUUGAGGAUACCAAAGAUCCAAACGUGAUUUUGGACAAAGCAUAUAUGUAUGUUGUAUGUUUCAUUUAACAUUUAAUAAGAGAGAUUGCAAUUUACAUUGUAUAAAAAAAGGGAAUGGGUUUAUCAAGGUUUCGUAUCUUGCUUAUUAUUACACAGUAAUAUACAUGGAAAAAUUGAAAUUCAUAGGCACUCAUCAUUAAAAUUUUUACUUACACCUCCAUGAUUUUACUGUUUAGGCAUAAUUGAGAGAUGCAUGAAAGGACCUUGUACUAGUAUAUGGGAGAGAAUGGAGAGAAAUGAUAAUGAAAAAGGAAUAGGUAGAGCCCUUCUCAAUGUAGCAGCUUUCUCAGCUCUUGGGACCAUCCAAUGGGAGGGCUUAUCUAGGUCCUACCAGGGAAAGUGGGACCCAUGUGGAUAUGCUAACAUGGAUAACAUCUAUCCAGCCCACUGAAAGAUCUGCAGUUACACAAGUACUUCAUCAUGUUGGGCUGUAUUUCAUUUACUGUUCAAAUCACCCUUCCCAAAGUUACCUCCUUUACUCCAUGGAAAUCCCUACCCUCUUGCCAACCCUGUCCUUCAGCCUUCAAAAGAAGAAUAUUAUUUCUGUAAAUGUGCAACUGUUUCUAAAAUUAUGAGUAAAGUACAAAAGAAACAGAAC